Lolium perenne is the source of this 1475-nucleotide non-coding RNA. Lineage: Eukaryota; Viridiplantae; Streptophyta; Magnoliopsida; Poales; Poaceae. The record is from RefSeq and is a predicted model, not a curated record.
CAACAUCUUGGGGUUGCAUAGUGUGUUGAAGUUAACCACAUCUUUCCGGCGACGCUACCUCCUCCUCGCGUUGCUCCACUUGACGGCGUCCAGUUGAUGAGUUACCGACGGCAGCCCUGAGCUCAUCCCCGUCCCGACGCCAGAUCCCUCAGAUCCCAGGCCGUCUUGCUCCUCCUCCCUUGGGUCGGCGGCGCUGCUCAGCCGAUAGGAGGCGAGAGAAGGCGGUCCGUUGUGCUCCUCUUCCCCUAGGUCGCCCAUGCCCUGUUCGAUACUGCUGCCAGCGCGCCGAAGAGGAGAACAGUGGAUGGCAGCACCUCAUUUCCUUCUACACCUAGGUGACAUGAAGUUUACGACCUUUAAGAAAUGUCUUCUAUAAAUCUGUACGUCGCCCACAAAUAUAUUAGAGGGUGAAAGAUUGAUUAUUACUGGAUAUUAUUUACUACAUGAGAAAAUUGAAGCUCCCAUGUUCAUCGCAACAUACAACCUGUCUGUUGCUAAAUAAUCCAGUUGGCAUUGUUAGUACCACCCGUUCAUGGCCAGAGGAGUUUCCAGUGCCAGGCAGUGGUAUCUCGUUGAGUUUGAAAUUUGGAUUGGUUACUCUACAAAAUCUGUGUGGUUUAGUCAACUGAAUUGUGGACUCUGGACUGCUCUGGUACUACUAAUUAAUUUUAUGUUUCCCUUUUUACAGUAAAUUUAUACUGUUCGUUAUAGACCUGAUGUUGUUUUGGUUUACAUGCUCGGUAUGUCCACUGAAUUUUAUAUUGUUGUCCAUUGAUCUGGUUGUUGUUCUAGCUUCCAUGGUCACUUGGUCUGUUAUUCUUCGUAGCAUUUCAUUGAUAACCUUUUCUAACUAUGACGAUUCAGAUAGAUUGUGGGUAUAAAUCAUAAUUACAUGAUGCUUUCAGGUUUUUCACCUGAUCUUUCUUCAUAUGAUGAACACCAGGUUAUGAAUGUUAAAAUGCCUUUCUUGUUUAGGUUUGCGCACCCUAUGUUAGCCCAUCAAUAGUUCCGAUUGGAUAUGGUAUUGCACAGUCAGGUGUACCACGCCUAUACAGGAGUAUCUUUUGAAGGUUUGAAUCAUGGUUAUUGCUUCACAUAUUGCACAGUGUUUGCUAUCGAGGGCCCAUCAGCAGUUUGACAGCGUUACAAUAAUAUCACCUUCGUUUGGAAGUCUUGUCAGUUUAGCAACUAAGGAACGGUGGAUGGGGUGGAGUCAUCUUUCAUCCAGAACAGAGGGUUUCCCUUUGAUCAUUUUCUCACAUCAAAGAUUAAUUCAUGUGCUCUGUGGAGAUGACAAAUGAACGAAUUGCUGCGGGUGAACUUACUAUAUCUCUCUUAUCGACAUCGGCAGCUGUAACGGUGGUAAACUUAGUAUUUUUCCUGCUUUCAUUGAUAUGGCCUUGAUAUUCUUCAUGCUAUUUUUGUUAGUAUUAUGUGCGUGGACUUGAAAAGAAUACACACUUUCAUCAUUUCUG